GGGAAAUUGGGAAGAUGGGAACUUGAACCUCUUCCGGAGUAUCUCUCUGGAGGGCAAGUCUGGUGCCAGCAGCCGCGGUAAUUCCAGCUCCAAUAGCGUAUAUUAAAAUUGUUGCAGUUAAAAAGCUCGUAGUUGAAUUUCUGCUGUAUUGCAUUUUCUCUUUUUAUAUGAGUUUUUGCAUUAUGGCUUAUUUCAGUAUUAAUUUUUUAUUAUUACUGAAUGUUUACUUUGAGAAAAUUAGAGUGCUCAAAGCAGGCUUUUGCCUUGAAUAGUUUAGCAUGGAAUAAUAAAGUAGGACUUUGGUUCUAUUUUGUUGGUUUUAGGUACCAAAGUAAUGGUUAAUAGGAACAGUUGGGGGCAUUCGUAUUUAACUGUCAGAAGGUGAAAUUCUUAGAC
This 396-nucleotide ribosomal RNA is filed under the name Theileria sp. OT3. RNAcentral's name for it is "SSU rRNA". It matches the Rfam family "Eukaryotic small subunit ribosomal RNA", at positions 503 to 925 of the family's 1831-position model. The record is from RNAcentral. Lineage: Eukaryota; Apicomplexa; Aconoidasida; Piroplasmida; Theileriidae.